Molecule: ribosomal RNA, 253 nt
Filed under: uncultured bacterium
Lineage: Bacteria
Description: partial 16S ribosomal RNA
Rfam family: Bacterial small subunit ribosomal RNA
Source: RNAcentral
UACGUAGGGCGCAAGCGUUAUCCGGAAUUAUUGGGCGUAAAGAGCUCGUAGGCGGUUUGUCGCGUCUGCCGUGAAAGUCCGGGGCUCCACUCCGGAUCUGCGGUGGGUACGGGCAGACUAGAGUGAUGUAGGGGAGACUGGAAUUCCUGGUGUAGCGGUGAAAUGCGCAGAUAUCAGGAGGAACACCGAUGGCGAAGGCAGGUCUCUGGGCAUUAACUGACGCUGAGGAGCGAAAGCAUGGGGAGCGAACAGG